This 254-nucleotide ribosomal RNA is filed under the name uncultured microorganism. RNAcentral describes it as "partial 16S ribosomal RNA". It matches the Rfam family "Archaeal small subunit ribosomal RNA", at positions 474 to 727 of the family's 1478-position model. The record is from RNAcentral.
CACCGGCGGCUCGAGUGGUGGCCACUUUUAUUGGGUCUAAAGCGUCCGUAGCCGGCUUGGCAAGUCCCCUGGGAAAUCUGGCGGCUUAACCGUCAGGCGUCCAGAGGAUACUGCCAGGCUUGGGACCGGGAGAGGUGAGAGGUACCUCAGGGGUAGGGGUGAAAUCUUGUGAUCCCUGAGGGACCACCAGUGGCGAAGGCGGCUCUCUGGCCAGUUACUGACGCUCAUGCGCGAAAGCUGGGGGAGCGAACCGG